This 307-nucleotide ribosomal RNA is filed under the name uncultured eukaryote. RNAcentral's name for it is "partial 18S ribosomal RNA". It matches the Rfam family "Eukaryotic small subunit ribosomal RNA", at positions 1470 to 1796 of the family's 1831-position model. The record is from RNAcentral.
CCCUUAGACGUUCUGGGCCGCACGCGCGCUACACUGACACAGGCAACGAGCUUUCCUCUACCGAAAGGUAUGGGUAAUCUUUUGAAACUGUGUCGUGCUGGGGAUAGAUCCUUGCAAUUUUUGAUCUUAAACGAGGAAUUCCUAGUAAGCGCGAGUCAUCAACUCGCGUUGAUUACGUCCCUGCCCUUUGUACACACCGCCCGUCGCUACUACCGAUUGAAUGGCUUAGUGAGGCCUCAGGAUCCGCGCUUAAUGUGUGGAGAAUUUGGACAAACUACGUCAUUUAGAGGAAGUAAAAGUCGUAACA